AUGGCUGUCGUCAGCUCGUGUCGUGAGAUGUUGGGUUAAGUCCCGCAACGAGCGCAACCCUCGCCCUUAGUUGCCAGCAUUUAGUUGGGCACUCUAGGGGGACUGCCGGUGAUAAGCCGGAGGAAGGUGGGGAUGACGUCAAGUCCUCAUGGCCCUUACGGGCUGGGCUACACACGUGCUACAAUGGCGGUGACAGUGGGCAGCGACCUCGCGAGGGGAAGCUAAUCUCCAAAAGCCGUCUCAGUUCGGAUUGUUCUCUGCAACUCGAGAGCAUGAAGUUGGAAUCGCUAGUAAUCGCGUAACAGCAUGACGCGGUGAAUACGUUCCCGGGCCUUGUACACACCGCCCGUGGGGCGGGGGCGGCGGGCCGGGCGCGGGGCGCGGCGGGCG
This 390-nucleotide ribosomal RNA is filed under the name uncultured bacterium. RNAcentral describes it as "bacterial SSU rRNA". It matches the Rfam family "Bacterial small subunit ribosomal RNA", at positions 1045 to 1437 of the family's 1533-position model. The record is from RNAcentral.